RNAcentral lists this ribosomal RNA (174 nucleotides) under uncultured Actinomycetes bacterium. RNAcentral's name for it is "uncultured actinobacterium partial 16S ribosomal RNA". It matches the Rfam family "Bacterial small subunit ribosomal RNA", at positions 338 to 524 of the family's 1533-position model. Lineage: Bacteria; Bacillati; Actinomycetota; Actinomycetes. The record is from RNAcentral.
CCUACGGGAGGCAGCAGUAGGGAAUCUUGCGCAAUGGGCGAAAGCCUGACGCAGCGACGCCGCGUGAGGGAUGAAGGCCUUCGGGUUGUAAACCUCUUUCAGCAGGGACGAAGCGAAAGUGACGGUACCUGCAGAAGAAGCCCCGGCCAACUACGUGCCAGCAGCCGCGGUAAU